UGGGGAAUAUUGGACAAUGGGCGAAAGCCUGAUCCAGCAAUGCCGCGUGUGUGAAGAAGGCCUGCGGGUUGUAAAGCACUUUCGGUGGGGAAGAUUAUGACGGUACCCACAGAAGAAGCACCGGCUAACUCCGUGCCAGCAGCCGCGGUAAUACGGAGGGUGCGAGCGUUAAUCGGAAUUACUGGGCGUAAAGCGCGCGUAGGCGGCUUUGUAAGUCGGAUGUGAAAGCCCCGGGCUUAACCUGGGAACUGCAUUCGAUACUGCAUGGCUAGAGUAUGGAAGAGGGAAGUGGAAUUCCGGGUGUAGCGGUGAAAUGCGUAGAUAUCCGGAGGAACACCAGUGGCGAAGGCGACUUCCUGGGCCAAUACUGACGCUGAGGUGCGAAAGCGUGGGGAGCAAACAGGAUUAGAUACCCCCGUAGUCC
This 424-nucleotide ribosomal RNA is filed under the name uncultured prokaryote. RNAcentral describes it as "bacterial SSU rRNA". It matches the Rfam family "Bacterial small subunit ribosomal RNA", at positions 355 to 796 of the family's 1533-position model. The record is from RNAcentral.